Molecule: long non-coding RNA, 1740 nt
Organism: Macaca mulatta (Rhesus monkey)
Lineage: Eukaryota; Metazoa; Chordata; Mammalia; Primates; Cercopithecidae
Source: Ensembl
AUGGUUCCUUUCCAGAGCCACCUGGUGUGCAAAAUCCACCUAUGCACCAUGGCAUCCAGGCUGAGAGAAGGGCACUUCUCUAUCGCUGCACAUGUUUUGGGCAAUGCUGAGUUGUGGUUUAGUAUACAGAAGAAGACUGACCCCCAUGAAUCUCAAACCUAUGAAGAAAUUUCAGUCACCAUUCAAAUUGUUGAGACAGAGGAAUAUAUUUUCUGUCAUCCAGACCUCUCCUUGUAGUUUGACAUGAUGUGUAUUAUUUUAGUGUAUUUGUUUAUGAGGAAAACAGAUUUCAGGGUUUUUAACAGGUCUUCAGCAGGAAGACAGCUUUUAUUAUAUCAAUACAAUAAAAUGCAGCAAAUUUUAGCAGCUCUAUGAAUUCCAUUAGCCAGAGCACAUGAUAGAGAAAUCCAAUGUGGUGUGGAUGGGGUGGGGUGAGCGUGGAAGGUUUUACUUGAAGAUGAGAUAUUUUAAAUAGGAGUUAGGGCAUUGUUGGUUGGUGGUGAGAGAGGUUCAGGUAGAGGAAACACUCUACUAUGUUAAGUGAUAGAAAGCAUGACAUUUUUGAGGAGCUAACAAACAACACAGCUGUGAAUGAAGAGAAUAGUGCAAGGUGAAGAAGCAAGGUAAAGCCAGAGAGUUAGGAAGCAGAUCAUACAGGAUUUUUCAAUCCAGAUUAAGAUUUUGGCUUGAAUCUUUUCUUCCUCCCUACCCACCCCCACCCCCGCAAAAUAUUUUCGUUAAAUGAUUCACUGCUGUAAGCACUUGAUAUGUAUUAUUUAUUUCCCACAACAAUCUAAUGAGAUAGAUAUUAUUAUCUUUUCCAUUUUACAGUUAAGAAAACAGGUCAAGAAGGUUGAAUAACUUGUUCAGAGUCACAUGGCUACUGAGUGGUGGAGCUGGGCUUUCAAUUUCGGUAGUAUGCUUCCAAGAACAACAGGAUGCAGUAAAGGAUUUUAGUAGAGGAGAGAUGCCAUCAGUUCCGUUCUUAAAGAGAUUACUCUAGCCAAAAUGUGGAGAAGGGAUCUGGUAAGAGUAGGUGGACCAGUCAGGUGUGUAUUGUAGUAUUCUAGAUAAGAGAUGAUGGUGCCAACAGUGUGGAUGUGACAGAGGAUAUGGAGAGAUGAGUAAUUAAGAGAUUCUUAAGACUUCUACAUGACAGGACCUGGUGACUGGAGGUGCCAAGGAUGAUACCUGUAAUACUGGCAAAAGCAAGCAAGUGGAUCAUGGUGCUAUUUGAUAAGUAGGGCACACUGAAAAAGGAGGUUGUUUGAAGGAGAAGAUCAUCAGUUCAGUUUUUCAUGUGUUGACAUUUGAAGGUAGAAAUGUGGAACAGGUGUUAUAGUGGGUGGACAUGGAGAAGGUGGGUGAGGUCUCAGCUGGAUAUAUGAACUUGGGAUUCAUCCUCCUGUAGAUAAUAUAGAUAUUAACUAAAGCCAUUGAAGGAAAUGAAAUUGCUUAAAGAGAGUGUAGACUGAGAAGAGAAAAAGGCCAAGGACACAAGAAUUGAGUGGAAAAGAAAAACAAAAUCUAUUUAUACAUUGGAUAAAUCCAUAGGGUUGCCUUUUAUACCACAAUCUAUUUUCUGAAUUAUGAAAUACUGACUAGGAUUUGUGAGAACCAGGUUUAUAAUGAGAAUGUUAAUUUAAAUCUUGGACGCAUGGCACCUUAAGAAGCAAAUAGGUCCCAGUGGUCCUUGCUGCAGUCAUGCACAGAAUGCCUUGCAUGUUGGUCUUAUCUAUG